RNAcentral lists this ribosomal RNA (344 nucleotides) under uncultured bacterium. RNAcentral's name for it is "bacterial SSU rRNA". It matches the Rfam family "Bacterial small subunit ribosomal RNA", at positions 29 to 359 of the family's 1533-position model. The record is from RNAcentral.
AACGAACGCUGGCGGCGUGGAUAAGACAUGCAAGUCGAACGGGACAACAUCUGUAGCAAUACAGGUGUUGUUUAGUGGCGAACGGGUGCGUAACACGUGGGCAAUCUGCCGAGAAGUGGGGGAUAGCUCGCCGAAAGGCGAAUUAAUACCGCAUAUGAUCAGGGAGGACAUUCUCUCGACAUCAAAGCCGGGGCAACCUGGCGCUUCUUGAUGAGCCCGCGGCCAUCAGCUAGUUGGUGAGGUAACGGCUCACCAAGGCUAUGACGGGUAGCUGGUCUGAGAGGACGACCAGUCACACUGGAACUGAGACACGGUCCAGACACCUACGGGUGGCAGCAGUCGAG